UUGUUUAUUAUCAACUUUUGAAGGACAUUGGAAACUGUAGGUAGCAUCCCUCUCACAUACCUCACAUAACACUGUAGAGUUCAAGAAAGCUAAGACAUGUCUAGCAAUGGGGUGAGUACUUUUGCUUAAAAUUCUCCCAUGUUAGUGGGAUGCCUUGGUUCCUGCUUGGAAGGGGGGAUCGGUGAGGAAGAAGCACCCCGCAGGACACGGUUCCCGCUUGGAAGGGGGGGUGGGGGACGGACAGAGCACACCGCAGGGCAGGUUUCACGCUUGGAAGGGGGGAUCGGUGAGGAAGAAGCACCCCGCAGGACACGGUUCCCGCUUGGAAGGGGGGGUGGGGGACGGACAGAGCACACCGCAGGGCAGGUUUCCCGCUUGGAAGGGGGGGUGGGGGACGGACAGAGCACACCGCAGGGCAGGUUUCCCGCUUGGAAGGGGGGGUGGGGGACGGACAGAGCACACCGCAGGGCAGGUUUCCCGCUUGGAAGGGGGGGUGGGGGACGGACAGAGCACACCGCAGGGCAGGUUUCCCGCUUGGAAGGGGGGGUGGGGGACGGACAGAGCACACCGCAGGGCAGGUUUCCCGCUUGGAAGGGGGGGUGGGGGACGGACAGAGCACACCGCAGGGCAGGUUUCCCGCUUGGAAGGGGGGGGUGGGGGACGGACAGAGCACACCGCAGGGCAGGUUUCACGCUUGGAAG
Molecule: long non-coding RNA, 701 nt
Organism: Gopherus flavomarginatus (Mexican gopher tortoise)
Lineage: Eukaryota; Metazoa; Chordata; Testudines; Testudinidae
Exons: 4
Source: RefSeq, a predicted model, not a curated record